Molecule: non-coding RNA, 725 nt
Filed under: Pan troglodytes (chimpanzee)
Lineage: Eukaryota; Metazoa; Chordata; Mammalia; Primates; Hominidae
Source: RNAcentral
GGGACGUUGGAGGGGCGGCCGCAUGGCGUGAUUACUGUCUCUGGCCACCGAGCAGAGCCAGUGACAGCAGCGUUCUGGUAGGCAGGCAGGCGUAUCAGGUUUCAGAGGAUGCGGCUGGGAACGGGAGUAGAGGUGAGGGGUCGUUGCAUCUGUCGCGGUGUGUAUCUUUUGGGGGUUCAGCGCCACCAGCGACUUGGGCCUCAUUCAUCGCGCUUACAAUUCUCCACCUCAUUUGAAGAACAAGCUUCGUAGCCCACGGAGCUGAGGUAUAUGAGCUCCCUGAAAGCACAAAGCAGUUAUUUCCAUCUUCAGAUCAUUCAGAGAUUAUGAAGGCACAAACCCUGCCUUCAAUUUGCUUAUAGUCAAGUGGAGCAGACACAAGUAAAUGAUUGCAGUAUAGCCACUUAAGUAAUCUAAAAGAGACUUAUCAGCAGGUUGCAGGUGAACAUGGCCUUGAGGUAAAUCUGUCCCUUGCUGAAUACAGUUUCAGUAGAUUGUUUAUAGUAGUUUCAGGAAUUGAGAUUUUUUACAAAAAUACAAAAGUUUUGCUUGGUUCUGUUCUAGAUGUUUUCUUCUAAAUAAAUGAGAAAGAUGUUUCAACAAAGGCUCUUUAUGCUGAAUAAUUGUGAUGCUUGAAGUUGCUAAUCUGCUUUAAGUGGAUUUUAAAUGUCAGGCAAUUCUAGACAGUUUUUUCUUGGUCAAAUAAAAAUUUAAUUAAAACUUUA